This 793-nucleotide ribosomal RNA is filed under the name uncultured bacterium. Its description in RNAcentral is "bacterial SSU rRNA". It matches the Rfam family "Bacterial small subunit ribosomal RNA", at positions 8 to 808 of the family's 1533-position model. The record is from RNAcentral.
AGAGUUUGAUUAUGGCUCACGCCCUUAUAAUGGCGGCGUGCUUAACACAUGCAAGCUCGAACGGCCUUAUAUUGAAACCUAGUGAUGUAUGAGUUAGUGGCGGACGGGUGAGUAACGCGUGGAGAACCUGCCGUAUACUCCCGGAUAACACUUAGAAAUAGGUGCUAAUACCGCAUAAGCGCACAACUUCGCAUGAAGCAGUGUGAAAAACUCUGGUGGUAUACGAUGGAUCCGCGUCUGAUUAGCUAGUUGGCGGGGUAAAGGCCCACCAUGGCGACGAUCAGUAGCCGGCCUGAGAGGGUGAACGGCCACAUUGGGACUGAGACACGGCCCAAACUCCUACGGGAGGCACCAGUGGGGAAUAUUGCACAAUGGGGGAAACCCUGAUGCAGCGACGCCGCGUGAGUGAAGAAGUAUUUCGGUACUUAAAGCUCUAUCAGCAGGGAAGAAAAUGACGGUACCUGACUAAGAAGCCCCGGCUAAUUACGUGCCAGCAGCCGCGGUAAUACGUACGGGGCAAGCCGUAUCCGGAUUUACUGGGUGUACCGGGAGCGUAUACGGUAGCGCAAGUCUGGAGUGAAAUCCUAUGGCUUAACCAUGGAACUGCUUUGGAAAUUGUGCUGCUAUAGUGCUCGAUAGGUAAUCCGGAAUUCCUACGUGACCGGUGAUAUGCGUACAUAUUAUGAGGAUCUCCCCUGGUGAACGCGGCUUACUGGACUGUAACUGACGCUUAGGCUCGAAAGCGUGGGGAGCAAACCCGAUUAAAUUACCCGGUUAUUCUCUGCUGUACCCA